Molecule: long non-coding RNA, 979 nt
Organism: Triticum urartu
Lineage: Eukaryota; Viridiplantae; Streptophyta; Magnoliopsida; Poales; Poaceae
Source: RefSeq, a predicted model, not a curated record
UGAAGUGUUUUCCCAUCGCGUCCUUUCCUUUAAUCUUCGAGCCACCAUACCUUUAUUCCAAAGGAUUAAUUGACAAGGCAGUCGAGCGGCCGGUCGGCCGGAGAUCGUACUUUAUAGCGCUAUGUUCCCAAUUCCCAUGCGUCUUCCUCCCCGGCUCACGCCAGUGAAUUUCUACUUCGGCAAGGAGAUGUCAAUCCCAUAUUUGCACUACAUAGAUCGACUAAAUUGAAUAUGUGGAGCUGAAGCAGCCGCUGGUGUGGAAUUAGCCAGCCUACCUUCUUAGCGCUCUGGUUCUCGGACCGCCCGUCAUCAUCGUCGCCGGCGAGCCCCUGACAUGCAGGCAAGACAAAAAAAUCACUGGCGGCGCUGGCGAAUCAACAACGGCGUGAAGGCUGAGCAUGGGCAAGUCUGUUUUUGUUUCCUUUUUCUUUCAUAAUGUUGGCGUUCGUUUUUGAAGGGUCACCUCUGACUUCCCUUCUUAGCAUGUCAGGGGAUCUGAUGGGUGCUACAACAUCCAGUGCCAUCCUAUCAGCCUCAAAGAUCUUCGUCAUCUGCCUUAGAAGUUUAUGAUUAAUUUGUUUUCUCCAUUCACUAAUGGUUGUGACUUGGGAGUACUAAUCAUUAUGUUUGCUUCAGCUCAGGAUUCGCCAUGCCAAGACGUUUGGCAGCGGUGCUGAAGCUGGGAGUGUUUAAGUCAGCUCAAAGGAUGGGAUGUCCCAUGGGGAUACCGUCGACGGGUGUCCAGGAGUUUCUGUUGGAUGUGUUCUUAUUCCAGGACAUGAAGCAGUUCUGUGAAGUGAUUAGCAUAUCAGACUUGCAAACCACGUGCUUGCUUCUUGAAAUGAAACUUUUUGGUGUUAAUACUCUCCUUCCGUUUCUCAUAUGUGGCAGCUAAGGGCACACCUCUUUUUAGUUCAUUCAAAUACCUUUGUCUUAGUAUAUUCUUAUAAAUAUUUUUCGAACAAGAUCCUUAUCAAUA